Nicotiana attenuata is the source of this 407-nucleotide long non-coding RNA. RefSeq lists it as uncharacterized. The record is from RefSeq and is a predicted model, not a curated record. NCBI's taxonomy places the organism in Eukaryota, Viridiplantae, Streptophyta, Magnoliopsida, Solanales, Solanaceae. The transcript is spliced from 3 exons.
UCUGAAAGUGAAUUUUGUAAAUGUUGCAGAUCGAUAUGGUGUUUUGGUGCUUCAAUUUACUAGGUUUCUUGUUUCUGCCCAACCCCUUCAACAUAUACUACUCUCCUUAAAACUCAAAGAUAAUGUCCAAAGUUUUUCAGUCUUAGUUCGACAGUUUCAUAAUCGCUGUUUUGAACCUCGGAUCAUGCAUUUCACAGGAGAAGCAGCUGGUGGCACUGGAUUCGGGAGUUGGGGAGAUUGCGUAACUAUAGAUUGUUCUGCUUGGAAUAGCGUGGAGAUUAUUAUGACUAUAUAUUUUCAUGAAGCCAGUAGAGUUACAAAGGGUCUUGCAGAUCAGAAGGUUUACUUGGAGAAGGAACACCACCAUUCAGGCAGCUAGAUGCAGGAAAGCUAGAUUCCUGCAUACC